UGAUGGAGGGGGAUAACUACUGGAAACGGUGGCUAAUACCGCAUAACGUCGCAAGACCAAAGAGGGGGACCUUCGGGCCUCUUGCCAUCAGAUGUGCCCAGAUGGGAUUAGCUAGUUGGUGAGGUAACGGCUCACCAAGGCGACGAUCCCUAGCUGGUCUGAGAGGAUGACCAGCCACACUGGAACUGAGACACGGUCCAGACUCCUACGGGAGGCAGCAGUGGGGAAUAUUGCACAAUGGGCGCAAGCCUGAUGCAGCCAUGCCGCGUGUAUGAAGAAGGCCUUCGGGUUGUAAAGUACUUUCAGCGGGGAGGAAGGUGUUGUGGUUAAUAACCGCAGCAAUUGACGUUACCCGC
This 356-nucleotide ribosomal RNA is filed under the name Salmonella enterica subsp. enterica serovar Hindmarsh. RNAcentral describes it as "bacterial SSU rRNA". It matches the Rfam family "Bacterial small subunit ribosomal RNA", at positions 131 to 482 of the family's 1533-position model. The record is from RNAcentral. Lineage: Bacteria; Pseudomonadati; Pseudomonadota; Gammaproteobacteria; Enterobacterales; Enterobacteriaceae.